GCUGGCCCUAGGGUUGAAUGCCACCAGACCCAUUGUUGAGGGCAUCCCUGGGGGCAGCUCUUCCUUAGACCAGCAGCCGGGGUGCAGUAGCAGCAGCACCUUCAUAACUGUUUUACAUAACACUCCAUCACUUUUACCUGUUCCCAUGCAAGGGGUGACUGAAGCAUGCACAGACAGUGAAGCAACCCUGUCAGAUGACUGUGGUUUGGAGGAAGUCCCUGGUGACAUUCGUUUGCUCUUUAAGAGAAGUCUCCAGCAAAAAAUGGAGUACACUGAGCUGAAGAAACAAAAGCUCCUAGGUGAACU
This is a non-coding RNA of Maylandia zebra (zebra mbuna), 306 nucleotides long. Lineage: Eukaryota; Metazoa; Chordata; Actinopteri; Cichliformes; Cichlidae. The record is from RefSeq and is a predicted model, not a curated record.